RNAcentral lists this ribosomal RNA (1694 nucleotides) under Henicorhynchus lobatus. RNAcentral's name for it is "16S rRNA". The stretch from base 93 to 1612 matches the Rfam family "Bacterial large subunit ribosomal RNA". The record is from RNAcentral. Lineage: Eukaryota; Metazoa; Chordata; Actinopteri; Cypriniformes; Cyprinidae.
GCCAAACAGCUAGCUUAAUAAUAAAAAUAACCUAACAACAUAAAUAUUACUAAAUAAACUUAAUAACAAAAAUUAAAUCAUUUUUUUACCUUAGUAUGGGAGACAGAAAAGGUUCACAUAAAGCUAUAGACACAGUACCGUGAGGGAAAGCUGAAAGAGAAAUGAAACAGCCUAUAUAAGCAUUAAAAAGCAAAGACUAAACCUUGUACCUUUUGCAUCAUGAUUUAGCCAGAAAAUUUAAGCAAAGAGACCUUUAGUUUAAAAUCCCGAAACCAGGUGAGCUACCCCGAGACAGCCUCUUAAGGGCCAACCCAUCUCUGUAGCAAAAGAGUGGGAAGAGCUCCGGGUAGAAGUGACAAACCUACCGAACCUGGUGAUAGCUGGUUACCUAAAAAAUGAAUAAGAGUUCAGCCUCGUAUACCUUAGUCCAACAAUAAUAUAACACCUAAACAUAAACCUGAAGAUACUAAAGAAAAUUACGAGAGUUAGUUAAAGGGGGUACAGCCCCUUUAACAAAGGAUACAACCUUACUCAGGAGGAUAAAGAUCAUAAUAUAUAAAACAUGUCGUUCUAGUGGGCCUAGAAGCAGCCACCUAAACAGAAGGCGUUAAAGCUCUGACAUAAAAAAGUUUAUUAUUCCGAUAAAAUAUCUUACUCCCCUAAUACUAUUAGGUUCUUCCAUGCCCACAUGGAAGGGAUUAUGCUAAAAUGAGUAACAAGAAGACCUACCCUUCUCCUAACACAAGUGUAAACCAUACUGGACCCACCACUGGAAAAUAACGAACUCAACCCAAGAGAGAAAUAUGUAUAAUAAAAACAAGAAAAUCCCAUUACACUAAAUCGUUAACCCCACACUGGAGUGUUGAUACAGGAAAGACUAACAGAAAAGGAAGGAACUCGGCAAACACAAGCCUCGCCUGUUUACCAAAAACAUCGCCUCUUGCUAUAUAACCUAGUAUAAGAGGUCCGGCCUGCCCAUUGACAACAUGUUUAACGGCCGCGGUAUUUUAACCGUGCAAAGGUAGCGUAAUCACUUGUCUCUUAAAUAGAGACCUGUAUGAAAGGCUAAACGAGGGCUUUACUGUCUCCCCUUUCAAGUCAGUGAAAUUGAUCUACCCGUGCAGAAGCGGACAUAAUAAUACAAGACGAGAAGACCCUUUGGAGCUUAAGGUACAAAACUCAACCACGUCAAACAACUCAUUAAAAAGCAAGAACUUUGUGGAACUGGGAUCCUACCUUCGGUUGGGGCGACAAUGGAGUAUAAUAUAACCUCCAAGUGGACUGGGGUAAUAAACCCUAAAACCAAGAGAAACACCUCUAGACCACAGAAUAUCUGACCAAACAUGAUCCGGCCACUAAAGCUGAUUAACGAACCAAGUUACCCUAGGGAUAACAGCGCAAUCCUCUCUCAGAGUCCCUAUCGACGAGAGGGUUUACGACCUCGAUGUUGGAUCAGGACAUCCUAAUGGCGCAGCCGCUAUUAAGGGUUCGUUUGUUCAACGAUUAAAGUCCUACGUGAUCUGAGUUCAGACCGGAGCAAUCCAGGUCGGUUUCUAUCUGUAACGCUACUUUUCCCAGUACGAAAGGGCCGGAAAAGAGGAGCCCAUGCUAUAAAGCACGCCCCGCCCCCAACUUAUGAAAACAAAUAAAUAAAACAAAGGAGAGCUAAAAAUAGCCCGCCAAAAUAAGGACUU